CCUACGGGGGGCUGCAGUGGGGAAUAUUGGACAAUGGGCGAAAGCCUGAUCCAGCCAUGCCGCGUGUGUGAAGAAGGCCUUCGGGUUGUAAAGCACUUUCAGUGGGGAAGAAAGCCUUGGGGCUAAUACCCUCGAGGAAGGACAUCACCCACAGAAGAAGCACCGGCUAACUCCGUGCCAGCAGCCGCGGUAAUACGGAGGGUGCGAGCGUUAAUCGGAAUUACUGGGCGUAAAGCGCGCGUAGGCGGUCUGAUAAGCCGGUUGUGAAAGCCCCGGGCUCAACCUGGGAACGGCAUCCGGAACUGUCAGGCUAGAGUGCAGGAGAGGAAGGUAGAAUUCCCGGUGUAGCGGUGAAAUGCGUAGAGAUCGGGAGGAAUACCAGUGGCGAAGGCGGCCUUCUGGACUGACACUGACGCUGAGGUGCGAAAGCGUGGGUAGCAAACAGGAUUAGAACCCGGGUAGUC
Molecule: ribosomal RNA, 464 nt
Filed under: Vreelandella stevensii
Lineage: Bacteria; Pseudomonadati; Pseudomonadota; Gammaproteobacteria; Oceanospirillales; Halomonadaceae
Description: partial 16S ribosomal RNA
Rfam family: Bacterial small subunit ribosomal RNA
Source: RNAcentral